CACUCCACCUCCAGCAGGAUUUGUGCAUGUGCACAGACAUGAAUACCUGCACAUGCCCAUCUCUACAAGUGGCUCUGCAUGACUUCGAGCAUGUGCAUGGUACCGCAGUGUCUCUCUGCAUUAUGUCUCUCCUGGCUUUCCUGGUCUUCCUUCACAAAUACAAUCUUGGUCCAUCCUGUAUGGCCAUGUCUUCUACACUUGAACGACAGAGCACAGAACCUGAACACGAAGGCUUCAUGUUUUAUUAAUGUGUCCAAUUCAUUUCCUGUUUUCAUGCUGAUAACCUACUGAGGGAGAGGAAGGGAACUCAGGUGGCAAGACCUCAGAUCCAUUUUUCUUAUAUUCAUGAACAGUUCACAAGUGGAUAUUUCACUAGCAAAAUCUCUUUAUUGCACGUAUUACUGCAUUCUUCAGGAAGCUUCACUGGGACAGCUUCUCUGCUGCUGGCAUAUACCUCUGAAAGAAUAAAUGUUUUCAAGGCAAGUUCUCUUUAAGGUGAAAGCUUUUAGGUUUUAGUUCAGUCAGUGCUCAGUAGUUAUUUUCACUUCUGUCCUUUCUACAGAGCUAACCUCAUAAUACACCAAAUUACUACCCUGGCAGAAAUCUCCUCAUCAAACAAAAUUCACAUUAGCAAUACCAUUCUCUGUUUCUAGACAUGCCAAUUUAUCCCCCAUUAAGACAAACCAACACAGCAGUCAGCCCAGUAGAUAUUCACAGAGAUUUUUAAACUAAAACUAAUGUUACUAGUCCUGCAGAAUGAAGACAUCAGUGUUCAAGAAAGAAUCCCCCUUUUCCUAUUUCUCAAGCUGAUAAUACAACAAAGGCCUUGGUCUCAUAAAACACUCCUACAGUUAACAUAAAUUCAGAGAAGAAAACUGAAAUUCCCCAGUGAUUCUUGUACUGGACAGAGAUGCCCCAGUCUGUCUCAAUGCUUCUUAUUCCCUCACAGCAGCAAAUGCUUUAACAGCAAUGACUUGCCUCCAAACAGCUGCUUCCUAUAACACCCAUUGGCCACUUUCCCAGCAAGAAGAAAGCCCUUCUCUCCACAGCC
RNAcentral lists this long non-coding RNA (1051 nucleotides) under Corvus moneduloides (New Caledonian crow). RNAcentral's name for it is "lncRNA (ENSCMUG00000018461.1)". Lineage: Eukaryota; Metazoa; Chordata; Aves; Passeriformes; Corvidae. The record is from RNAcentral.